Molecule: ribosomal RNA, 500 nt
Filed under: uncultured bacterium
Lineage: Bacteria
Description: partial 16S ribosomal RNA
Rfam family: Bacterial small subunit ribosomal RNA
Source: RNAcentral
AUUGAACGCUGGCGGAAUGCUUUACACAUGCAAGUCGAACGGCAGCACGGACUUCGGUCUGGUGGCGAGUGGCGAACGGGUGAGUAAUGUAUCGGAACGUGCCCAGUCGUGGGGGAUAACGUAGUGAAAAUUACGCUAAUACCGCAUACGAUCUAUGGAUGAAAGCGGGGGAUCGCAAGACCUCGCGCGAUUGGAGCGGCCGAUAUCAGAUUAGGUAGUUGGUGGGGUAAAGGCCCACCAAGCAAACGAUCUGUAGCUGGUCUGAGAGGACGACCAGCAAGACUGGAACUGAGACACGGUCCAGACUCCUACGGGAGGCAGCAGUGGGGAAUUUUGGACAAUGGGCGAAAGCCUGAUCCAGCCAUUCCGCGUGCAGGAUGAAGGCCCUCGGGUUGUAAACUGCUUUUGUACAGAACGAAAAGGUUUCUACUAAUACUAGGAGCUCAUGACGGUACUGUAAGAAUAAGCACCGGCUAACUACGUGCCAGCCGCCGCGGUAA